Molecule: ribosomal RNA, 2900 nt
Filed under: Klebsiella pneumoniae
Lineage: Bacteria; Pseudomonadati; Pseudomonadota; Gammaproteobacteria; Enterobacterales; Enterobacteriaceae
Also listed under: 1 other name
Description: bacterial LSU rRNA
Rfam family: Bacterial large subunit ribosomal RNA
Source: RNAcentral
UUAAGCGACUAAGCGUACACGGUGGAUGCCCUGGCAGUCAGAGGCGAUGAAGGACGUGCUAAUCUGCGAAAAGCGUCGGUAAGGUGAUAUGAACCGUUAUAACCGGCGAUGUCCGAAUGGGGAAACCCAGUGCAAUUCGUUGCACUAUCGUUAACUGAAUACAUAGGUUAACGAGGCGAACCGGGGGAACUGAAACAUCUAAGUACCCCGAGGAAAAGAAAUCAACCGAGAUUCCCCCAGUAGCGGCGAGCGAACGGGGAGCAGCCCAGAGUCUGAAUCAGCUUGUGUGUUAGUGGAACGGUCUGGAAAGUCCGACGGUACAGGGUGAUAGUCCCGUACACCAAAAUGCACAGGCUGUGAACUCGAAGAGUAGGGCGGGACACGUGGUAUCCUGUCUGAAUAUGGGGGGACCAUCCUCCAAGGCUAAAUACUCCUGACUGACCGAUAGUGAACCAGUACCGUGAGGGAAAGGCGAAAAGAACCCCGGCGAGGGGAGUGAAAAAGAACCUGAAACCGUGUACGUACAAGCAGUGGGAGCACCUUCGGGUGUGACUGCGUACCUUUUGUAUAAUGGGUCAGCGACUUAUAUUCUGUAGCAAGGUUAACCGUAUAGGGGAGCCGCAGGGAAACCGAGUCUUAACUGGGCGUUAAGUUGCAGGGUAUAGACCCGAAACCCGGUGAUCUAGCCAUGGGCAGGUUGAAGGUUGGGUAACACUAACUGGAGGACCGAACCGACUAAUGUUGAAAAAUUAGCGGAUGACUUGUGGCUGGGGGUGAAAGGCCAAUCAAACCGGGAGAUAGCUGGUUCUCCCCGAAAGCUAUUUAGGUAGCGCCUCGUGAAUUCAUCUUCGGGGGUAGAGCACUGUUUCGGCUAGGGGGUCAUCCCGACUUACCAACCCGAUGCAAACUACGAAUACCGAAGAAUGUUAUCACGGGAGACACACGGCGGGUGCUAACGUCCGUCGUGAAGAGGGAAACAACCCAGACCGCCAGCUAAGGUCCCAAAGUCAUGGUUAAGUGGGAAACGAUGUGGGAAGGCACAGACAGCCAGGAUGUUGGCUUAGAAGCAGCCAUCAUUUAAAGAAAGCGUAAUAGCUCACUGGUCGAGUCGGCCUGCGCGGAAGAUGUAACGGGGCUAAACCAUGCACCGAAGCUGCGGCAGCGACACUAUGUGUUGUUGGGUAGGGGAGCGUUCUGUAAGCCUGCGAAGGUGUGCUGUGAGGCAUGCUGGAGGUAUCAGAAGUGCGAAUGCUGACAUAAGUAACGAUAAAGCGGGUGAAAAGCCCGCUCGCCGGAAGACCAAGGGUUCCUGUCCAACGUUAAUCGGGGCAGGGUGAGUCGACCCCUAAGGCGAGGCCGAAAGGCGUAGUCGAUGGGAAACAGGUUAAUAUUCCUGUACUUGGUGUUACUGCGAAGGGGGGACGGAGAAGGCUAUGUUAGCCGGGCGACGGUUGUCCCGGUUUAAGCAUGUAGGCUGAUUGUCCAGGCAAAUCCGGAUAAUCAAGGCUGAGGUGUGAUGACGAGGCACUACGGUGCUGAAGUAACAAAUGCCCUGCUUCCAGGAAAAGCCUCUAAGCAUCAGGUAACAUCAAAUCGUACCCCAAACCGACACAGGUGGUCAGGUAGAGAAUACCAAGGCGCUUGAGAGAACUCGGGUGAAGGAACUAGGCAAAAUGGUGCCGUAACUUCGGGAGAAGGCACGCUGGUGUGUAGGUGAAGUCCCUGCGGAUGGAGCUGAGACCAGUCGAAGAUACCAGCUGGCUGCAACUGUUUAUUAAAAACACAGCACUGUGCAAACACGAAAGUGGACGUAUACGGUGUGACGCCUGCCCGGUGCCGGAAGGUUAAUUGAUGGGGUUAUCCGUAAGGAGAAGCUCUUGAUCGAAGCCCCGGUAAACGGCGGCCGUAACUAUAACGGUCCUAAGGUAGCGAAAUUCCUUGUCGGGUAAGUUCCGACCUGCACGAAUGGCGUAAUGAUGGCCAGGCUGUCUCCACCCGAGACUCAGUGAAAUUGAACUCGCUGUGAAGAUGCAGUGUACCCGCGGCAAGACGGAAAGACCCCGUGAACCUUUACUAUAGCUUGACACUGAACAUUGAGCCUUGAUGUGUAGGAUAGGUGGGAGGCUUUGAAGCGUGGACGCCAGUCUGCGUGGAGCCAACCUUGAAAUACCACCCUUUAAUGUUUGAUGUUCUAACGUUGGCCCCUUACCGGGGUUGCGGACAGUGUCUGGUGGGUAGUUUGACUGGGGCGGUCUCCUCCCAAAGCGUAACGGAGGAGCACGAAGGUUAGCUAAUCCUGGUCGGACAUCAGGAGGUUAGUGCAAUGGCAUAAGCUAGCUUGACUGCGAGCGUGACGGCGCGAGCAGGUGCGAAAGCAGGUCAUAGUGAUCCGGUGGUUCUGAAUGGAAGGGCCAUCGCUCAACGGAUAAAAGGUACUCCGGGGAUAACAGGCUGAUACCGCCCAAGAGUUCAUAUCGACGGCGGUGUUUGGCACCUCGAUGUCGGCUCAUCACAUCCUGGGGCUGAAGUAGGUCCCAAGGGUAUGGCUGUUCGCCAUUUAAAGUGGUACGCGAGCUGGGUUUAGAACGUCGUGAGACAGUUCGGUCCCUAUCUGCCGUGGGCGCUGGAGAAUUGAGGGGGGCUGCUCCUAGUACGAGAGGACCGGAGUGGACGCAUCACUGGUGUUCGGGUUGUCAUGCCAAUGGCACUGCCCGGUAGCUAAAUGCGGAAGAGAUAAGUGCUGAAAGCAUCUAAGCACGAAACUUGCCCCGAGAUGAGUUCUCCCUGAGACUUUAAGUCUCCUGAAGGAACGUUGAAGACGACGACGUUGAUAGGCCGGGUGUGUAAGCGCAGCGAUGCGUUGAGCUAACCGGUACUAAUGAACCGUGAGGCUUAACCUU